Cygnus atratus (black swan) is the source of this 1562-nucleotide long non-coding RNA. RefSeq lists it as uncharacterized. The transcript has 4 exons. The record is from RefSeq and is a predicted model, not a curated record. Lineage: Eukaryota; Metazoa; Chordata; Aves; Anseriformes; Anatidae.
GUUGAGAUCAUCCUGAAGCUGAAGAUGAAGCAGGAAGGAAUUCAUCAUCCUGACCUGACUGUUACAAACGUCUGGUAAUACCCUCCUUCAGCCAAUCUAACUCAUCCUCAUGGGGUAAAGCUGAAGCUCUGGUGCCAGUGGGGCACCCCUCUGCCUAUCUACAAGGGGAACCUCUGCCGCUGCGGACUUUCUUGCCCUGUUUGUGUUAUCCUCACCAUUCAGUGGAACAAUAAUCUGACCACCAUAACUGAUAGUCCAUGCUGGAAGGAGAAGACAGCAACAGAGGAUACUGGUGGCAGUCAAUACAAGCACAGCCUAAUGCCUCGAGAAUUUUCUGGGAGUUGCAUGAACAAUCCCAAAGCAAUGCAGAUCAAACUGGCAGGAGAAGAGCAACUGGAAACUGGGUCUUAAGCAAGUGCUGUUGCUGAAGAAGGGGAUGGUAGCCUGGGACUGUCCGGUUGUGUAUUUCCUACUGAUAUCACAGAAAGCCCUGAAGAAAACAAUCUUUGAUGGAGAAUAACAUAUUUCAAAAGACAACUUCCCACCUCCAAAGUUUGUGGAUAAUUAGAAGAUUGAUAAGCAGCUUUGCAAGCCAUUUAUACUCAAUGUGUUUUUCUUUCCAGCACCUCAAAUUAUUCAUUUCUCUGUGUAUGUUAGGCAUCCCAAACCCAGGCAUUUUCCAUAGAAAGGACAGAGGUGUUCCCUGUGUGCUCACUGAGCUAUACACCUCUUACAUGUCCUGCCAAUUUCAAUUCUAAGCAAUAUAAAAUUUUUAGCAUCUACUGUGACAAUGACUUGUGUGUUGCUUUAUCUUCCACAUGCAUUUGCAAGUGAGAACAGCAUGCACUUCCUGAGGCAGACAAACCCUGUGAAUUUCUAUAGAUGGACAAACUGAGAUGAAAAAAAGCAAGGUCACGAGAUCGCAGGAGUUGAGAUGAAUUUUGGAACUGGAGAUUCUGCUGCCCAGAACUUUUGGCUACAGAUAAAGUUACACAUUAACCAUAGGAUGUGACUGUAUCUGAGCCAGGUUAAGGUUUUCAACAUUUAACAAUGCCAAAGUUGGGAAUUCAGUGGAAAAAGUCUUUUGAGUCACAAUAUGUGGCAAACUCAUAUUCAGGACAGAUGGCAUUUUCUAAAAGUAGCUGUUUACUCCUAGAAUUACUCUUCUUCCUUCCUGUGGCAUAUCUUCCUCAUUCAGUGGUGCUCCUGCCCACAAGCUUGUCUUUUCCAGCAUAUUUCUUGUGGUAAUUUCAACGAUCUUUUUUUUUUUUAAAAAAAAAAAAAGGAAAAAGCUAUUAAAAAAAACCUCUCUCUCUGUCUUUGUCUUCUUACCUUCAUGUUCCUCUCUCACAACAUCCUGUCCUAAUUAUGGAUAAAUGUACAAUGCUUAGUUAUUUUGGAAAACAUCUUCCGUCUUCAUAUAGAAGGUAUAAUUAGAAGCUUAGUUCAUCUUGCAUUUUGUUCAGCUAAAUGUCACACCCUCUAUUUGUGUUUUUCUUUCCUUUGUUUCCCUCUAACUAAGGAAAUCAAGAAUAGAUUGCAAAAAUAAAUAUACUUCGCUU